ACUUCUUGGCAACGGGUUCAAUGGCCUGAGAACAUGAACUCACUAGAUCGGCUUUCGAUGCCAAAUACAAGGAACCUAGACCAUCUAGGGUGCGAGCAAGAGAAGGAGGUGAAACAUGCAGAGAAAGCCUAUCCGGGAGAUGCAUGGGAUUGGGAACAUUUGCAUGAACUCAAGCCAUGGUGGGGAAAUGGAGACCUAGUGAAUGGAAGAUAGCACAAACUAGGGGUGCAAUGCAAUGCGGAGAAGGCAUAUGUGGUAGCAGUUCCCAAUGUGCCCAUGCUGAUCAACAUGAUGACAGGCAGCAUGAAUUGAGUGCCCAGUUAAUUGUAAGUUACUCUUCCUACACCUUAAAAUCCUUAUCCUAUACUUACCCGUGA
Cynara cardunculus var. scolymus (artichoke) is the source of this 377-nucleotide long non-coding RNA. RefSeq lists it as uncharacterized. Lineage: Eukaryota; Viridiplantae; Streptophyta; Magnoliopsida; Asterales; Asteraceae. The transcript has 2 exons. The record is from RefSeq and is a predicted model, not a curated record.